GGGGAUACACUUAGAGUCCCCUGGAUAGCGUGUGUUAAUAGCAACGUCCUGUGGCCGGGAUUUGCGGUUAGUGAAUC
The submitters of this non-coding RNA (77 nucleotides) gave its source as unclassified sequences. The record is from Rfam.